Molecule: transfer RNA, 74 nt
Filed under: Escherichia phage 4MG
Lineage: Duplodnaviria; Heunggongvirae; Uroviricota; Caudoviricetes
Description: tRNA-Cys
Rfam family: tRNA
About the family: Transfer RNA (tRNA) molecules are approximately 80 nucleotides in length. Their secondary structure includes four short double-helical elements and three loops (D, anti-codon, and T loops).
Source: RNAcentral
GCGCGGUUGCCGGAAUUGGUUAACGGUCCUGUCUGCAAAAUAGGUAUUUGUCAGUUCGAGUCUGACACCGUGCU